Molecule: ribosomal RNA, 468 nt
Filed under: uncultured bacterium
Lineage: Bacteria
Description: partial 16S ribosomal RNA
Rfam family: Bacterial small subunit ribosomal RNA
Source: RNAcentral
GACGAACGCUGGCGGCGUGCUUAACACAUGCAAGUCGAGCGGAAAGACGCGGAGUUUGUGGGGCGCACGAGUGGCGAACGGGGGAGUAAAACGUGAGUAACCUGUCCUUGUCUUUGGGAUAUCAUCACGGGACUGGGGCUAAUACAGGAUAGGAUCUCCUGCAGCAUGGUGGGGGAUGGAAAGAGUCGGCGGUUGGGGCUGGAAUGGCGGCUUAUGAGCUGCAUGGUCGAGUAGUGGAUGACAAGGGCUGUGACGGGUAGCCGGCAUGAGAGCGUGACCGGCCACAUUGGGCCUGAGGUACGGCCCAGUCUCCUACGUGAGGCAGCAGUGGGGAGUAUUGCACAAUGGGCGGAAGCGUGUGGCAGCAACGCCGCGUGCGGGAUGACGGCCUUCGGGUUGUAAACCGCUUUCGACUGUGACGAAGCGUGAGUGACGGUAAUGGGUCAAGAAGCACCGGCUAACUACGUG